Anguilla anguilla (European eel) is the source of this 5841-nucleotide long non-coding RNA. RefSeq lists it as uncharacterized. The record is from RefSeq and is a predicted model, not a curated record. The transcript has 2 exons. Lineage: Eukaryota; Metazoa; Chordata; Actinopteri; Anguilliformes; Anguillidae.
CCCCAAACCCCCCCUUGGAGGGGUGUCACACUAAAUCCAGUCCCCAUAAGUAGCCUCCUGCCAUGACCUCCAGCAGUGGCCUUAGAGGGAAACUUCACCGACAAUCCGAAAUUUAAACCCGUACCUGUGCUGCAGUCAGUAUCAUUGUUGAGAAAAACAGCUUUUUUCAACUAAUAGUCUGGGUUUUUUUUUUUUUUUUACCAGCUUUGUGCUGCCUGGCCCUCCUACAAUUCCCAGAAUUCAUUGUGCCACAUCUGCAAAUUACAUUAAAAACAUUCUUGAUCACUUUAAUACAGAAACACAGACAGUUGUUUAGCCACACUGUAGAUGGUGUCGGAUCUUUGUGCUCUAAUCUAGAUUGUCUGGCUGUGUAAAAUUUUUAUUUGCAUGUAUUGUGGCUGUGUGCUAGCUUGGAGCUGACAGGAAGGAAGUGGCAGCACCAGCUCUAUAGUGCAUUGUGGGUAUUAGAGUGCAAAACUAGAAAAGAACUUUCAAUGGAAGGAAGUUGUAGUUUUUCUGCUGUCAGACAUGGAGGAAUGUUGAAUUUUUGGCAUUUCAGCAGCAUAUUACAGCCUUCAGUGUGUCUGAGGCAUCAUACCUGCCUGCUGAACCUCAAGGUAAGGAACGACAUGCAAAUUAAUCAGCAUUUUCUGCUAAAUUAUUCAAAUUUGGUAUUAAAUAUUCGGUGAAGUUACCCUUUAAAGCUAGAAAUGUUUUUCAGACCCCCACUACCUUAAAAAAAACUGUCCCCCACCCCGUACGCCUUACACCCUACCCCCUUUCACCUCAUGCGUUUCGUACACGCCUGCAGGUACCUUGGUGAGUGGUUAGGGGGGCACUAGUGUAAAGGAUAAUCUGCAAAGUCCCAGGCUGACUUUAGCCAACUGCUGCAAAGUCCCUGUCUGACCGCGUCUGGGCUAUUGGGCCCAGCCUGGACCCAUGGUGAACACCUUUAUUAACUGAAUCACUGGGGAGCCGUAUACCCCCCUCCCCUCUCCCCAAACUCAGUAUUUUAACAUUGCUAAAUUCACUAUGCUACUUUAUUUAGUAUAUUCUAAAGCUCAUAUCCACUGUAAGAAUAAAAGGCCAGUUGGAACAAAAUGAAGGCAAGACAUUGUAAGGAUAAGAACAGGCCAUUCAGCCCAUUUAGACUCACCAGUUACCUGAAGUAUACAGGCCUGUACUUCAGUACUGAAAUUCUGUUGAGAGAAAUUUAAGUUGGGGGGGCGGGGAGAGGGGGGGGAAUCUUGCAACUGUCUUUUGAAAGGUGUAAAUACAUGCGCAGUAUAUUAUAUAUCUAAAGGUAUAUAUUUAAGAAUCCACAUAAGAAAAUGAAAUAUUAGAAAUAUGAAUAGAUGAGUGGUGAAAUUUCAAAAUAUGAACAUAUUACUGUAUAAAUAUUACUGAUAUGUCUCACAGAUUUCUCUCAUUUUGUUGCUUUUUCGUCCCAGAGCUGUCCACACUCUCCCCCCCCCCCAAAAAAAAAACACCAAUAUGCUCCUUUUGUGCUCCUUUGUGCUCAGUCGGAAAUCCACCAUCAUUGCCCUGUUCUCUUUCACUGUAGAAGUGGAAUGCAAGCGCCGAGUACGAUACAGCGCCCCCGCUUGGUUGGGAGGGCUUUAUUACACAAAACACAAUGUAGCGCACCUGAACUUGGACAAGUACCCAGAAUGCAGUGUUUAACAUGUGGUGUCCUGUCCCCCCCCCCCCCCCCCCCCCUCUUAGGGGGGGCUGUGGUGCUCAGCAGAUGCAGUUUCUUUCCUUAUUGUCAUUUUUUUAAACUGAGUUCUGUGAAUGGUUUUAUUUGUGGUCUGUGAUCAGCUGUAACUGUUUUAGAUUGCAGUUUAAACUGGGCACGUGGAGCCCCCGCAGUCAUAGACUUUAUUAAGGGGACUGAAUGCCAGUCCGUCAGUCACCUAACACUAAAUGCAGGCGUAUAUACUGUAUAUGAGAUCAUUAUUUAUUAGUCUUAUUUAUUUAUUUAUUUUUGUGAUGUAUCACUUUUGACGUCUGCGUCGUACUCCACGCUAGGUGGGGGGAGAGGGGGUGAGAGUGAUGGCAGCUGUUCAGCUGCGGGAGGUUGUGACAGCUGUCACUCAGGUUGAUGGACCGGGAUCUUGCUGGGAGCGGGUUUUGAAGGUUCCGCUGGGCGUGGGUUCUGCUGGGUCCGCUGGGUCUGUGGCUCGGCUCAGCUGAAGGGAGCUGGCGGUCUGUGGGCUGCUGGGAGCCAGAAGGCCCAUCAGGCGGGUGACUGUGAGAUUCCCCCAGAAGGCCCAUCAGGCGGGUGACUGAGAUUUCCCCAGAAGGCCCAUCGGGCGGGUGACUGUGAGAUUUCCCCAGAAGGCCCAUCAGGCGGGUGACUGUGAGAUUCCCCCAGAAGGCCCAUUGGGCGGGUGACUGUGAGAUUCCCCCAGAAGGCCCAUCGGACGGGUGACUGUGAGUUUCGCUCAGUCCGUGCUGCUCUCCGCGGGUUUGGGAAAGGAAUGCCUCAUUCCGGAUCUUUCCGUGACCAAAAACUGUUCCAGGCUAACCAAUGACAUGGACUGUUCACUUCGUCUGGCCACGCCCCUCACCUGUCACCUGUCACAAUGCUAGGACCUCCUCACACACACCUGUACACAUCCACGUAUAUACACGCUCACAUGCACCUGUGCUCUCACACACACACACACACACACACACUCAGACACACUGGUGUAUACAGGCGUCAAGUACGCACAAAUGCGCAUACACAUAUAUACACAUACACGCUUGGACACACGCUCGUACACACACAUCUGUAUAUACACUAAUACACGUACACACACACACACACUGUCACACAAACACUUAUUCAUACUGACAUUAUUUCCCACCUCAGAGCAUGAUGAAUUAUGGGAGAGUAGUUAUGAUGUGGAAUAACGGGAUAUAACUGUGAAAGGGAGGGGCCCGUUUCCAUAGUUACCCAUCAUGGGGGGGUGGGGGGGUUCCGUGUGUUGGGCUGUGAUAGUGGAUUUGCUGGAGAAGGAACCCACCUUAGGGUUCCUAGGCAACUGUUGCAGCCUGGGGACUGUUGCCUAGGUACAAUAAUGUUUCCGGAGCUUUAGUCUAGUGGUACAUUUUUGAGAGAGCACUAGUGUUAUAAUUAUGAUUAUUGUGACGUAUUGAAUUCUGUUGUUUUCACACAUGUAGUCGAGGCCUUUCCCUGCUUGACCUUUGCUGUAAGCAUCGCCCUUGACCCCUGACCUCUGACAUUGGUCCAUCUUCUCCUAUCACUCCUUGUUCCUGGUUCAGUAAACUCUAGACACUAUUGGUGGUUCUCCAAUUCUGCCCUCCCAAUAGUCUUCCUUGCUGUAAAUAAACAGAAUUGUACAUAGGUUUUAGUCAUUUGUGUGAAUUGUGCUGAAAUGACUCCAGGUUUGCAAAAAAAGAACAAAAAACAAAAAAACGAACACAAAGCAUCUUUUCUUUUCGUUCUAGUACUGCUUGUGAAUGACUGUACUUACAAAGCAAUAUUUAAAAAAAUGGAAAAUACAUUUUUACAGCGUGGGAGUUUUUUUUUUGACCGUUUAAAGAUGUAGGGCAAGUGUUCAUCGGCAGGUAUGUGGCAGUGCUUUGUGUUAGAACGGGAGGGUGAGGGGCCUCGUUCUGGGGGACCUGCAGCGUGUGGAGUUUGACUGGUCGGGUCUGUGCAGUCUGGUGCAGUCUGCUGUUGAUUGCUGGGUUAAGUCUGGUUUUGAUUAGCUGAGUCUGGGUUCAGUCUGGUGUUGAUUAGCUGAGUCUGGGUUCAGGCUGGUGUUGAUUAGCUGAGUCUGGGUUCAGGCUGGUGUUGAUUAGCUGAGUCUGGGUUCAGUGUGGUGUUGAUUAGCUGAGUCUGGGUUCAGGCUGGUGUUGAUUAGGUGAGUCUGGGUUAAGUCUGGUGCUGAUUAGCUGAGUCUGGGUUCAGGCUGGUGUUGAUUAGCUGAGUCUGGGUUCAGUCUGGUGUUGAUUAGCUGAGUCUGGGUUCAGGCUGGUGUUGAUUAGCUGAGUCUGGGUUCAGUCUGGUGCUGAUUAGCUGAGUCUGGGUUCAGUCUGGUGUUGAUUAGCUGAGUCUGGGUUCAGGCUGGUGUUGAUUAGCUGAGUCUGGGUUCAGUCUGGUGCUGAUUAGCUGAGUCUGGGUUCAGGCUGGUGUUGAUUAGCUGAGUCUGGGUUCAGGCUGGUGUUGAUUAGCUGAGUCUGGGUUCAGUCUGGUGUUGAUUAGCUGAGUCUGGGUUCAGUCUGGUGUUGAUUAGCUGAGUCUGGGUUCAGUCUGGUGUUGAUUAGCUGAGUCUGGGUUCAGGCUGGUGUUGAUUAGCUGAGUCUGGGUUCAGUCUGGUGCUGAUUAGCUGAGUCUGGGUUCAGGCUGGUGUUGAUUAGCUGAGUCUGGGUUCAGGCUGGUGUUGAUUAGGUGAGUCUGGGUUAAGUGUAGUGCUGAUUAGCUGAGUCUGGGUUCAGUCUGGUGUUGAUUAGCUGAGUCUGGGUUCAGUCUGGUGUUGAUUAGCUGAGUCUGGGUUCAGUCUGGUGUUGAUUAGCUGAGUCUGGGUUCAGUCUGGUGUUGAUUAGUUGAGUCUGGGUUCAGGCUGGUGUUGACUUUGGAAGUGAGUGGGUGACAUCUGCACCAGCUGAACUAUGUCAAACAACUCAGAACCUGUUGGGGAGAUGAGACAGGAAGUGAAAAUCAAUGUUUUGACAGCUUCGCCUCUUUUUUAGGUUUCAAAAAAAAAAAAUACCAACCCUAUGAUCUCACACUGAAGGAGCUGUGUCCUGGUAAAUACUGCUUGUAGAACAGGUACUGUGGUAGAUCUGUGGUAAUCUUAGAUGUUACAAAUGUGGAAUCGCUGCUGUUCUGAUAUUUUACCUUCCUCGUAGUCCGUUCGGAUCGACUGAAUAUAUUGGUGACGGUAAUUCAGUUCAAUUAAAAAGUACAAACCUGGAAAGAAAUCUCCUGAAAUGUAAUAAAAGCCAGAAGACUGUUACUCUGAAACACGUGGAGAACGCCCCUGGGUCUCUGCCCAUCGGGACACCCCAGGGGUCUCUGCCCAUCGGAACGCCCCCGGGGUCUCUGCCCAUCGGAACGCCCCAGGGGUCUCUGCCCAUCGGGACGCCCCCCGGGUCUCUGCCCAUCGGGACGCCCCCCGGGUCUCUGCCCAUCGGAACGCCCCAGGGGUCUCUGCCCAUCGGAACGCCCCAGGGGUCUCUGCCCAUCGGGACGCCCCAGGGUCUCUGCCCAUCGUGCGCGGUGGCAGUGGAAUGGGGGGGUUUCUGGGGCUCAAGGUUCUCCGCUCCAGGAGCGCAGUGCGGUCCUCCGAGAUCCGCGCGGCAGGUCUGGGUUCCGGCUCUCGCGUGUGCGGUCCAGCCAAAAACACAGAGGAAGACGCGUUGGGCAGGACCACAAGGGUCACGCACGAAGUGUGUGCAAAACUGUUCUCAGCGUGUGCGUGUGCGUGUGCGUGUUCUGUGGGGAAUAUGCUCUAGUAGACCAUUCCUGAUGACUUAUGACAACUUUUUUAUUUAUUUUUUCCUUCGAGUGUUGCUCUUUUCAGAAUUUUUUCUUACCUAUUAUAUUAUUUUUAUGUUUUUGCGAUCGUACAUCAUGCAUCAAAUGAAGAAUUGCACAAUACUGCAGAUUUUGACUUACAUAGAUUUUUACACUUGUUUUAUGGAAAUAAAAUAUAUUUAAGAAAAGAAAAAACAUUCAUUAUUCAGUUUAGCAGUAGUUUACACAAUUACAGUGAGAAAAAAAUGAACUGUGUCAAAAUGUUAGAUUGUGAGCAUUUCCUGAGCUGCUGUACAUGUUGUGGAACAAUAAAUAAAGUCAAAAAUAAAAGUUUGUGCUGUCAAUAA